GACGAACGCUGGCGGCGUGCUUAACACAUGCAAGUCGAACGGAAAGGCCCUGCUUUUGUGGGGUGCUCGAGUGGCGAACGGGUGAGUAACACGUGAGUAACCUGCCCUUGACUUUGGGAUAACUUCAGGAAACUGGGGCUAAUACCGGAUAGGAGCUCCUGCUGCAUGGUGGGGGUUGGAAAGUUUCGGCGGUUGGGGAUGGACUCGCGGCUUAUCAGCUUGUUGGUGGGGUAGUGGCUUACCAAGGCUUUGACGGGUAGCCGGCCUGAGAGGGUGACCGGCCACCUUGGGACUGAGAUACGGCCCAGACUCCUACGUGAGGCAGCAGUGGGGAAUAUUGCACAAUGGGCGGGAGCCUGAUGCGGCAACGCCGCGGGCGGGAUGACGGCCUUCGGGUUGUAAACCGCUUUCGCCUGUGACGAAGCGUGAGUGACGGUACUGGGUAAAGAAGCACCGGCUAACUACGUG
RNAcentral lists this ribosomal RNA (468 nucleotides) under uncultured bacterium. RNAcentral describes it as "partial 16S ribosomal RNA". It matches the Rfam family "Bacterial small subunit ribosomal RNA", at positions 28 to 507 of the family's 1533-position model. The record is from RNAcentral.